Molecule: long non-coding RNA, 868 nt
Filed under: Pongo abelii (Sumatran orangutan)
Lineage: Eukaryota; Metazoa; Chordata; Mammalia; Primates; Hominidae
Description: lincRNA
Source: RNAcentral
CAUAGUGAGUUUGGGGACCCAAGAUCUUAUUUUCCUUUCUGUCACCCCCACUUGGUUUUGGGCUCCAUGACAGCUGGACCCGGCUUCUGCGUGGACAUAAUUGGAGACACUGGUUAUUUUACCAAAGCUUUGACUGGAAUGAUGUACUUUCGGAUGCAAACAGACUGCUUUAAGGAGUCAAAGCUGACUUAUGAAGUUGGCCUCAUCCCUUGUCUACACACUGUACAGAGUUCCUUGCCUGUAGUAUGUAAAGAGUGUCACUUUCUGACAGGCUCAGGAGCCCCAAAUUAUCUUGGGACCUUAAAGAGAGGACAUUGCCCAAUUUAUAUAGGUAUUUUCAGGCACCAAUAAAUCAUGGCUGGGCUCAAGCCUUUAAAAAAAGUCAAAUCUGGGAUUCCUUAUAGAAUAAAGUUCCAGCAAAGCCAAUUUUAAGACAGGCUUAUAUGGCAAAUAAUUAUUCUUGCUGACAUUAUGCAAACACUCAGGCCAAGUAUAAGACGAACAAUUAUUUUAAAUAAAUUUGUCCUACUAUGAUUUGGCUUCAGUAAAAACAGGUACUGGGCUGGGCAUGGUGGCUCACAGCUGUAAUCCCAGCACACUGGGAGGCCAAGGCAGGCAGAGCGCUUGAGGUCAGGAGUUUGAGACCAGCCUGGCCAACAUGGUGAAACACCAUCUCUACCAAAAAAUACAAAAAUUAGCCAGGUGUGGUGGCAUGUGUUUGUAAUCCCAGCUACGCAGGAGGCUGAGGCAUGAGAAUUGCUUGAACCCGGGAGGUGGAGCUUGCCUGAGUCCUGGUAAGGCACAGACAGAAAGGGUUGUCAGCCAUUUUUUUCUGAGGUUAUAAGAUCUACAACUUCCCCAGUUAUUC